This 253-nucleotide ribosomal RNA is filed under the name uncultured bacterium. RNAcentral describes it as "partial 16S ribosomal RNA". It matches the Rfam family "Bacterial small subunit ribosomal RNA", at positions 524 to 776 of the family's 1533-position model. The record is from RNAcentral.
UACAGAGGUCUCAAGCGUUGUUCGGAUUCAUUGGGCGUAAAGGGUGCGUAGGUGGCGCCAUAAGUCAGGUGUGAAAUCUCGGGGCUCAACCCCGAAACUGCAUUUGAUACUGUGGUGCUCGAGUACUGGAGAGGAGAUUGGAAUUUACGGUGUAGCAGUGAAAUGCGCAGAUAUCGGGAAGAACACCCGUGGCGAAGGCGGCUCUCUGGGACGGUACUGACGCUGAGACGCGAAAGCGUGGGGAGCGAACAGG